UACGAAGGGGGCGAGCGUUGUUCGGAUUUACUGGGCGUAAAGGGCGCGUAGGCGGCCUUGUCAGUCAGGCGUGAAAGCCCCGGGCUCAACCUGGGAGGUGCGCUUGGGACGGCGAGGCUGGAGUUCGGGAGAGGACGAGGGAAUUCCUGGUGUAGCGGUGAAAUGCGUAGAUAUCGGGAAGAACACCCGUGGCGAAGGCGGCUCUCUGGGACGGUACUGACGCUGAGACGCGAAAGCGUGGGGAGCGAACAGG
Molecule: ribosomal RNA, 253 nt
Filed under: uncultured prokaryote
Description: partial 16S ribosomal RNA
Rfam family: Bacterial small subunit ribosomal RNA
Source: RNAcentral